GAAACAACGCUGGCGGCGUGCCUAACACAUGCAAGUCGAACGAGAAAGGGACUUCGGUCCUGAGUACAGUGGCGCACGGGUGAGUAACACGUGACUAACCUACCCUUGAGUGGGGGAGUAACUUCGGGAAACCGAGGCUAAUACCGCAUAAUACCUACGGGUCAAAGGAGCAAUUCGCUUUAGGAGGGGUCGCGGCGAGAUUAGUUAGUUGGCGGGGUAA
This 220-nucleotide ribosomal RNA is filed under the name uncultured bacterium. RNAcentral describes it as "partial 16S ribosomal RNA". It matches the Rfam family "Bacterial small subunit ribosomal RNA", at positions 32 to 260 of the family's 1533-position model. The record is from RNAcentral.